CCUACGGGGGGCUGCAGUCGAGAAUCUUUCGCAAUGGGCGCAAGCCUGACGAAGCGACGCCGUGUGAGCGAAGAAGGCCUUCGGGUUGUAAAGCUCUUUCGCUAGGGAACAAGAGAGUUUGGUGAAUAACCAAGCGAUUUGAUGGUACUUGGUAAAGAAGCACCGGCUAACUCCGUGCCAGCAGCUGCGGUAAUACGGAGGGUGCAAGCAUUGAUCGGAAUUACUGGGCGUAAAGGGCGCGUAGGCGGUAGGAAAAGUCAGAUGUGAAAUUCCGG
This 275-nucleotide ribosomal RNA is filed under the name uncultured bacterium. RNAcentral's name for it is "partial 16S ribosomal RNA". It matches the Rfam family "Bacterial small subunit ribosomal RNA", at positions 338 to 605 of the family's 1533-position model. The record is from RNAcentral.